UUUGCAGUAAUUAAGGCUCAGGUUGAAACCGACCAAUUGCAAUGCUAUUUUUUGUUUGUUGAUAAUUGCAAAUUGUUGGUCUCAGAUUUGUAGGCUUAGCACUAUUGAUACCUGGAUUUUCUGGUAUUUAGAGUUAGUCAGGUACUGUUUGAUUUAUCGAGUUUUUGACUCAUAAAUUGAUGAAUUGAUUAUUGGUGUCAUCGUGUCGAUGCUCUGUAACUAAAGUGAGAAAUGUUAUAUUGGUUCUGUUGAAUCCAGUAUAUUUGGUGAUUUCUGAAGCAAGCAAGAUUGAUUCAAGGAAUGUCAAAAACAUAGGGAUAUUGAAAUAAUUUAUUGCCUUUAAUUACGCAGAGGUUAUAACUAUAGGGAAGAAUGGAUUUCAUUGCUCUGCGUGGUGGUUGAGUUCUGUGGUUUGAGAAUAUGUGGUUGACAAAUUCAUAUUUUGGGGAAAUAGAGAGGGAGAAAAGAUCUUGAGGCGAAAGAGAAGAAACUCACUCAAGAAGUUAAGAAGAGUGCUAACCAAGGUAGAUGGGACCUUUCUAUUGGAUGACAGUUUAAUGCAAAGCUACUUCUGUACAUACAUGAUUAUAAGGCUCAUAGAGAUGAAAUACAUACUAAGCUGGUCCGGAUCAUGAGAGAAAGGUUAUUGGUUCAUCUACACGGGUUGCCUCAAAUCGUAGAGAGCUGGAAUAGACCAGAGAGACUGACCCACAGCCUAGUCAGUUUGCUCGAUCACUUACCAAGGAAGUUGGAGACUUGCAACGUGUUCUAACUCGAACUUUACAUGUGGUUGAUGUUUAAGCAAUUUUCAGGCAAGUGAUUAUAAUUUUUCAUUCACAAAUUUCGGAAGCACUUUCACGCUUAGAGAUCAGUACACCACAAGCCAAGGACAGGAGAUUUUGGUUAUUGGGGUUGGGAAGCAUGUUCUACAAAAUUGAUACUAGUAAGUUGCGAAGGGUGAAGCUCUACCAAGGAUCUUAUCAAGCUCUGCUAAAACUUUGAAUAGAGACUGGUACGGUGCUAUUUUAUAGGCACGCAGAAAUUAGUUUCAUCGAUUGAACUUGAUUAGUUAGUCGACGUGUAGUCUGUGAGUCUGGCUAUAGUGUUGUAGGUCUUCAAUUUACUAGCUGCAGAUUGAAAUUUGACAUAUUACUUUGUCAAUUUAGCUUGGUAGGUGAUGGAGCAUUUGAGCUAGCUUUACAAUACAUUGUCUUGUAAUUGUUUUGGAUCUUGAAGACAGUAAUGAUGUCUUUAUUUCUAUCAACUGGUCAUUCUUCUUACC
Argentina anserina (silverweed cinquefoil) is the source of this 1282-nucleotide long non-coding RNA. RefSeq lists it as uncharacterized. The record is from RefSeq and is a predicted model, not a curated record. The transcript is spliced from 7 exons. Lineage: Eukaryota; Viridiplantae; Streptophyta; Magnoliopsida; Rosales; Rosaceae.